AUGGCGGAGGAACCAUCCACCAAGCGUCAUCAAGAUGAGCCGUCGGACAAGAGCAGCAACCUCAUCGAUGUUCACGUCCCCGGUGAGAAGCGCGAGUACACCAAAACCCUCAAAGAGGUUGAGCUCCAUGGCAAGGAGACGCUGGAGAUCGUCUGCACCAGCAAACCAGACAAGGCCGACGAUGUGAUCUCUAGGCUCUAG
This 201-nucleotide ribosomal RNA is filed under the name Triticum aestivum (bread wheat). RNAcentral describes it as "partial small subunit ribosomal RNA". The record is from RNAcentral. Lineage: Eukaryota; Viridiplantae; Streptophyta; Magnoliopsida; Poales; Poaceae.